GAGUUUGAUCAUGGCUCAGGACGAACGCUGGCGGCAGGCUUAACACAUGCAAGUCGAGCGCCCUGCUUGCAGGGAGCGGCAGACGGGUGAGUAACGCGUGGGAACGUGCCCUUCGGUACGGAAUAGCCCCGGGAAACUGGGUGUAAUACCGUAUACGACCUCCGGGUGAAAGAUUUAUCGCCGAAGGAUCGGCCCGCGUUAGAUUAGCUAGGUGGUGGGGUAAAGGCCUACCAUGGCGACGAUCUAUAGCUGGUUUGAGAGGACGACCAGCCACACUGGGACUGAGACACGGCCCAGACUCCUACGGGAGGCAGCAGUGGGGAAUAUUGGACAAUGGGCGCAAGCCUGAUCCAGCCAUGCCGCGUGGAUGAAGAAGGCCCUAGGGUUGUAAAAUCCUUUCGCUAGGGAAGAUAAUGACGGUACCUAGUAAAGAAGCCCCGGCUAAUUUCGUGCCAGCAGCCGCGGUAAUACGAAAGGGGCUAGCGUUGUUCGGAAUUACUGGGCGUAAAGCGCGCGUAGGCGGCCUGCCAAGUUAGGGGUGAAAUCCCGGAGCUCAACUCCGGAACUGCCUCUAAAACUGGUAAGCUUGAGGAUGUG
Molecule: ribosomal RNA, 597 nt
Filed under: uncultured bacterium
Lineage: Bacteria
Description: bacterial SSU rRNA
Rfam family: Bacterial small subunit ribosomal RNA
Source: RNAcentral